RNAcentral lists this ribosomal RNA (860 nucleotides) under Paenibacillus sp. SO72Rpa. RNAcentral's name for it is "partial 16S ribosomal RNA". It matches the Rfam family "Bacterial small subunit ribosomal RNA". Lineage: Bacteria; Bacillati; Bacillota; Bacilli; Caryophanales; Paenibacillaceae. The record is from RNAcentral.
GGAGCUGCUUCUCUGAGACUUAGCGGCGGACGGGUGAGUAACACGUAGGUAACCUGCCCAUAAGACUGGGAUAACUACCGGAAACGGUAGCUAAUUACCGGAUAGGUUCUUCUCUCGCAUGGGAGRGGAAAGAAAGACGGAGCAAUCUGUCACUUAUGGAUGGACCUGCGGCGCAUUAGCUAKUUGGUGGGGUAACGGCUCACCAAGGCGACGAUGCGUAGCCGACCUGAGAGGGUGAUCGGCCACACUGGGACUGAGACACGGCCCAGACUCCUACGGGAGGCAGCAGUAGGGAAUCUUCCGCAAUGGGCGAAAGCCUGACGGAGCAACGCCGCGUGAGUGAUGAAGGUUUUCGGAUCGUAAAGCUCUGUUGCCAGGGAAGAACGUCUCUUAGAGUAACUGCUAAGAGAGUGACGGUACCUGAGAAGAAAGCCCCGGCUAACUACGUGCCAGCAGCCGCGGUAAUACGUAGGGGGCAAGCGUUGUCCGGAAUUAUUGGGCGUAAAGCGCGCGCAGGCGGUCAUUUAAGUUGGGUGUUUAACCCAGGGCUCAACCCUGGGGUCGCACCCAAAACUGGAUGACUUGAGUGCAAAAAAAGAAAGUGGAAUUCCACGUUGUANCGGUGANGUGCCUUAAAGAUGUGGANGAACACCANUGGCGAAGGCGACUCUCUGGGCUGUNACUGACCUGANGCNCAAAACGUGGGGAACAACANGAUUAAAUACCUGGUAUCCCNCCUUAACAAAAAUGCANGUUUAGGGUUCANACCUUGUGCCAAUUAAAAUUAACAUCCCCUGGGAUNNGNCCAAUGACCAAGGAUUUCGGGACCCAACANGGUUUUUGUUAUUCACACCNAAACC